Long non-coding RNA from Dreissena polymorpha, 447 nucleotides. RefSeq lists it as uncharacterized. The transcript is spliced from 3 exons. The record is from RefSeq and is a predicted model, not a curated record. NCBI's taxonomy places the organism in Eukaryota, Metazoa, Mollusca, Bivalvia, Myida, Dreissenidae.
ACAGUACGAUAUUAAGACAAUGUUAUAUUGCUUAUUCGUAGUCACCGCCAUGCUAUUAAUAUGUAUUUGCAAUUAGUGGCGGACACAUUGCCUUUGUGGUAAUACGAUUAAUUCUGCAACCCAAGCACUAGAGUCAGAGUGUCGUGAUAAUUGUCCGGGCGACAUAAGCAAAAAAUGUGGCUUUCAUUGGAGGAUUAACAUCUACAGACAUUGGGGCUGCCCACUCGGAAGUUACAGUGUAAACUGUUCCAAGCAAUGCAAUUGCCGUGCGAGUUCAUGCGACGAUGUGACGGGUGCAUGUGGAAAUGGUGGCUGUAAAGGCGGAUGGAAAGGAAUAGUGUGUAAUGAAAGCUGCCCAACCGGAAGUUACAGCGUUAACUGUUCCAUGGAAUGCCAUUGUCGUGAGGGUCCAUGCGACGGUGUGACGGGUACAUGUGUAAAUGGUAG